This 266-nucleotide ribosomal RNA is filed under the name uncultured prokaryote. RNAcentral describes it as "partial 16S ribosomal RNA". It matches the Rfam family "Bacterial small subunit ribosomal RNA", at positions 524 to 789 of the family's 1533-position model. The record is from RNAcentral.
UACGUAGGGUGCGAGCGUUGUACGGAAUUAUUGGGCGUAAAGAGCUUGUAGGCGGUUUGUCGCGUCUGCUGUGAAAAUCCGGGGCUCAACCCCGGACUUGCAGUGGGUACGGGCAGACUAGAGUGUGGUAGGGGAGACUGGAAUUCCUGGUGUAGCGGUGAAAUGCGCAGAUAUCAGGAGGAACACCGAUGGCGAAGGCAGGUCUCUGGGCCACUACUGACGCUGAGAAGCGAAAGCAUGGGGAGCGAACAGGAUUAGAUACCCGU